Long non-coding RNA from Hemicordylus capensis (graceful crag lizard), 1211 nucleotides. RefSeq lists it as uncharacterized. NCBI's taxonomy places the organism in Eukaryota, Metazoa, Chordata, Lepidosauria, Squamata, Cordylidae. The record is from RefSeq and is a predicted model, not a curated record. The transcript has 5 exons.
GCGAUCCGCCACCGCCCGCCACUGCCGCGCUCACUCGGUCAUUCCCACACUGCUACUGUGCGCCACAAGCCAUGGGGCACACGAUCCGCCGCCGCCCACCACCACCACCACAUGAUCCGCCGCCGCCCGCCACUGCCGCGCUCACUCGGUCACUCCCACGCUGCCACUGUGCGCCACAAGCCAUGGGGCACACGAUCCGCCGCCGCCCGCCACCGCCACGCGAUCCGCCGCCGCCCGCCACCGCCGCGGAGUCCAGCCAGGGCGCAGAGUUAAUAAAACUACGCCUUGGUGAAUGACUAAUUUCAGGCAUCUCAGGUGAUGAAAUCAGUUGAACCCAGCACAGAUGCUGUCUGCACCUCUAAACAGCUAACACCAUAGAUGCCAGGUGUGGCACUUUCUGUAUGUCCAUCGCACCUCUGGGGAAAAAAAAUUGCUCUUGUGAUCCAUGCAACCCUGUAUGAAUUCAAGGAAGAAAGAUGCAGUUGGGAUCAUUUAAGUAAUGGGAGACACCUGGCAGUAUUCCUCGGGAAUGUGAAGACAAGGCUGGGUUUCUGAAUUAAAGACAACCCAUCCUGAAGUACGGCAGUAUGUAUAUGUUGCUUCUACUAUGAACCAGUGUUUCAUAAUGUUUGCUUUGUUCUGAGAAUUAUUAAUCAAGAACUUGGAGUACAUUGCCAAGGAAUGUUGGCCCUUGGAGUGUGGACUUGGAGAAAUAGGAAAAGGUUAUAUUUGCUUCACUCACUACAUAUAACCAGACUCUCACUGUUGCUUCCACCACUGUCUCCCAUGGUGCACCCACCUCUAUCCUCUAUGUCAUUUUUGUAACCCCAAUGGCUACUUUUUUUUAAAAAAGUUUCUAGGUUGUUCAUCAUCCAAGCACUGAGCAGAACCUGCUUAGCUUCAGCAAGUGCCCUCAAACCAUCAUAUUCAUUGGUGCUUUUCCAUAAAUUGCACCAGUUAAGAAUGAGACUCUUCAGACAAUAUGUUCUACUGAUAUGUGUGCAGCACUGAAUUCCUGCUAAAUAAUAUAAAUAUGUGUGGGAAUCAGGUUAAUAAUGGGACUGGCAGUACUUUUGCUCCUGCCAAAUGCACCUUUCCUGGACUACCUUGUUCUAUUCAAUGUUAAUUGGAAAGGAUGAGACAUGAGAUUUUGUUUUGGCUAAAUCUUUAUUUAUUUAAUUUUAAUUUUAAUUUAAAACAUUUAAACCCUG